GCUCUGUGGAUCAGUGGCGAACGGGUCGAGUAACACGUGAGCAAUCUGCCCCUGACUCUGGGAUAAGCGCUGGAAACGGCGUCUAAUACCGGAUACGAGCUGCGAAGGAAUCUUCAGUAGCUGGAAAGAAUUUCGGUCAGGGAUGAGCUCGCGGCCUAUCAGCUUGUUGGUGAGGUAACGGCUCACCAAGGCGUCGACGGGUAGCCGGCCUGAGAGGGUGACCGGCCACACUGGGACUGAGACACGGCCCAGACUCCUACGGGAGGCAGCAGUGGGGAAUAUUGCACAAUGGGCGAAAGCCUGAUGCAGCAACGCCGCGUGAGGGACGACGGCCUUCGGGUUGUAAACCUCUUUUAGCAGGAAAGAAGCGAAAGUGACGGUACCUGCAGAAAAAGCGCCGGCUAACUACGUGCCAGCAGCCGCGGUAAUACGUAGGGCGCAAGCGUUAUCCGGAAUUAUUGGGCGUAAAGAGCUCGUACGCGGUCUGUCGCGUCUGCUGUGAAAACCCGAGGCUCAACCUCGGGCCUGCAGUGAGUACGGGCAGACUAGAGUGCGGUAGGGGAGAUUGAAAUUCCUGGUGUAGCGGUGGAAUGCGCACAUAUCAGGAGGAACACCGAUGGCGAACGCAGAUCUCUGGGCCGUAACUGACGCUGAUGAGCGAAAGGGUGCGCAGCAACAGUCUUAGAUACCCUGGUAGUCCACCCCGUAAACGUUG
Molecule: ribosomal RNA, 715 nt
Filed under: Microbacterium schleiferi
Lineage: Bacteria; Bacillati; Actinomycetota; Actinomycetes; Micrococcales; Microbacteriaceae
Description: bacterial SSU rRNA
Rfam family: Bacterial small subunit ribosomal RNA
Source: RNAcentral